RNAcentral lists this ribosomal RNA (482 nucleotides) under uncultured bacterium. Its description in RNAcentral is "bacterial SSU rRNA". It matches the Rfam family "Bacterial small subunit ribosomal RNA", at positions 24 to 518 of the family's 1533-position model. The record is from RNAcentral.
UCAGGACGAACGCUGGCGGCGUGCUUAACACAUGCAAGUCGAGCGAUGAAGCUUCUUCGGAAGUGGAUUAGCGGGCGGACGGGUGAGGUAACACGUGGGUAACCCUGCCUCGAUAGAGGGGAAUAGCCUUCCGAAAGGAAGAUUAAUACCGCAUAAGAUUGUAAUAUCGCAUGAUAUAGCAAUUAAAGGAGUAAUCCGCUAUGAGAUGGACCCGCGUCGCAUUAGCUAGUUGGUGAGGUAACGGCUCACCAAGGCGACGAUGCGUAGCCGACCUGAGAGGGUGAUCGGCCACAUUGGGACUGAGACACGGCCCAGACUCCUACGGGAGGCAGCAGUGGGGAAUAUUGCACAAUGGGGGAAACCCUGAUGCAGCCAACGCCGCGUGAGUGAUGACGGUCUUCGGAUUGUAAAGCUCUGUCUUCAGGGACGAUAAUGACGGUACCUGAGGAGGAAGCCACGGCUAACUACGUGCCAGCAGCCGC